UGGAUGAGAAAAGGACUGGGACAGGUAACGUCAGUAGAAGGAAAGCUCGUGUGGACAUUCACAGCUCCUCACCUCGGCUACUGGAUUGCAGCACCUUUGUCAUCUACCAGAGGUUUCUUUGGACUUGCCGUCCCCAUGGACUUCAUCCUACGCCAUUCGUUUUUCCUGAUGGUUCUCUCAGGAGGAUUGCUUGUUAUUGUCAUCUGUCUUCUGCUUGGAUUCAUUUGUUAUUGCAGGAGUGCGCCCAGUGAGAAGAAAGCAAUGAAGAUCCUCCCAGUGUUAAAAAAAGACCAAACCACCUCCACAUGCGAUGAUGAAGCAUUUGGAGCAUCUUCAAGGCGUGGCUUUCA
Long non-coding RNA from Stegastes partitus (bicolor damselfish), 350 nucleotides. RefSeq lists it as uncharacterized. The record is from RefSeq and is a predicted model, not a curated record. NCBI's taxonomy places the organism in Eukaryota, Metazoa, Chordata, Actinopteri, Pomacentridae. The transcript has 3 exons.